GAUGAACGCUGGCGGCGUGCCUAAUACAUGCAAGUCGAGCGAACAGACGAGGAGCUUGCUACACUGACGUUAGCGGCGGACGGGUGAGUAACACGUGGAUAACCUACCUAUAUGACUGGGAUAACUUCGGGAAACCGGAGCUAAUACCGGAUAAUCUAUUGAACCGCAUGGUUCAAUAGUGAAAGACGGUAUUGCUGUCACUUAUAGAUGGACCUGCGCCGCAUUAGCUAGUUGGUAAGGUAACGGCUUACCAAGGCAACGAUGCGUAGCCGACCUGAGAGGGGAAUCGGCCACACGGGAACGGAGGCACGGUCCGGACUCCUACGGGAGGCAGCAGUAGGGAAUCUGCCGCAAUGGGCGAAAGCCGGACGGAGCAACGCCGCGUGGGUGAUGAAGGUCUUCGGAUCUUAAAACUCUGUUAAUAGGGAAGAACAAAUGUGUGAGUAACUAUGCGCGUCUUGACGGUACCUAAACAGAAAGCCACGGCUAACUACGUG
RNAcentral lists this ribosomal RNA (497 nucleotides) under uncultured bacterium. RNAcentral describes it as "partial 16S ribosomal RNA". It matches the Rfam family "Bacterial small subunit ribosomal RNA", at positions 28 to 507 of the family's 1533-position model. The record is from RNAcentral.